CCUCCUCCAAGCUGCAUCGCCACGCCCCAUUAUCCAUUCCUAAACCGAAGAAACCAACCGAAGAAACCGAGAAGGAGAGCUCCAUCUCCCUUUUCCUUCUCAACCUCGCCGCCGACCGUGAAGACGACGACCGCCUCCAGCGCCAUUACGCUGCGGUCGUUUCCUCUUAUCUUGUGUUCCAUUAUCACCUCUCCACGCCGACUCCAUCCCUCUAAGUUUCAUCCCCUUUCAUGCAGUGGUUUGGUGGGAACGCAAACCUCGCCGACGAUACUCUGGAGCACGCACCGGGUGCCGCCGUGGCGGCAUCGUCGCCGUUGCCAUCGAUCUAGACCAAGCCGGAGCGAGCCACCACGCCACCAGCUUCACCUCGAGCGCCUCUCCAUUUACCCCCAAGAAACCCAUCCAAUGGCGCAGCGAUCUUGGAGAUCGACAUCGUCUUCUCCAACUCCGUUCAACCGCUUCCAUCAUCGAAUCCAUUCUCUCUGACCGAGCAGCCGACGUCAUCCCUGGAGUUGUGCCAUGCCGCCAUGGAGCUUCGCCGUCACUGUGGCUCUGCAGACACCCCCAGCCUUGUCUAGCAUCUCGGAAUAGGGUUGAUCUGCACCGGCAAGAUCAACAACCUACGGAGAGGUGUAUCGAUCGCUAAGGCGCAACACAACGUCUCGUACGGUUGUAGUCGGAUCGUCAACGUUUCUCCCAAAUCGUAGUUAUCACAACUCACCGAAAGAUCGGGCCAACAACAGCCUUGAGUGUUGAGAGGAACUCAGGGUUCAUCAGGUGGUAUCAGAGCUUUCGUUGCUCGGUGAGUUUUUAUCUUCCUAUAACCAGAAAAUAGCCAUACAAAAAAAUUCGUAUCAUUUACCUAGCCAUAUUGUGCCAUUGCAUUGUUCUUUUCAGUUUUUGCUUUGUUGAAUUUUGUGUUGCAUCGUCACGUCGUGUUGCUGGUCUUAGCGUCUAGUUCGUUUAGAGUUUCGAGUUCUGGUCACGUUUUGUACCACAGUCGUCGCUGCCACCGUGUCUCUGUUGUUGUCGGGACCUACGAAAAUGGAAUCGGCUCGCUGCCACGGUUCUAUUUUUGUAGUUUUCAGAAGUUUCUAUCGGUUAGUUUUGGAGUUCUUGAGUUGUAUCUAGAGUUUGCCGAUCCUUGUGUGUGUUUGUUUUGGCCGUGCCUGUGUCGUGCACGAGAGGAGGAAGGUGAAUUACCAUAUCUGAUUUUGGAAGUAGUCAAGUUUGUUUUGGAAAGAUAUAGUAGAUUGGAUUGGUUAAAAAUCAGUUUCCUUUUUAUCCCAUACACCAAAUUCGGCUGCCAUCCACUCCACCUCCUGGCCGAGUCCCACUCGCCCCUUUGGCCGAGUCCGACUCCCUCCCUCUCUUCCACCGUUCCGAGUUGUGUCAAACACCUUGGCGAAUUUUUGUUUGGUGUCGGUUUCGAGAUCUGUUUGGAAAAACGGAACCGGCAUAAAUUCAGCAUUCUAUUUUUUGUAUAAUUUUAAUUUUGGGUUUAGACUUUUACAUUUGAGUCCCUAUAAAUUUUAUAUUUAUGUUUGAGUCCCUGUAAUCUUACAUUAAGGUCCUUGAGUCAGUUUUUGUUAAAAAAAAUAAGAAAAAAAAGUGAGAAAAAAAAAGGCAGAAAGGUGC
Long non-coding RNA from Oryza sativa Japonica Group (Japanese rice), 1638 nucleotides. RefSeq lists it as uncharacterized. Lineage: Eukaryota; Viridiplantae; Streptophyta; Magnoliopsida; Poales; Poaceae. The record is from RefSeq and is a predicted model, not a curated record.